RNAcentral lists this long non-coding RNA (450 nucleotides) under Androctonus crassicauda. The record is from RNAcentral. Lineage: Eukaryota; Metazoa; Arthropoda; Arachnida; Scorpiones; Buthidae.
CCGCUUUUGUUUCCUUCCCAGAAACAAUGCAGAGCAGGUGGAGAAAGCGUGCUCUUUGCCCUGCUGUGUGCCUCUGAAGCUCCUCCCGGCAGAAAUCUGGGAAAACAGCCUCACCCAACUCCUCUCUUACCCAUCUCCUUGUAGCUUUAUUCUUUGCAUCUGCUGAGCAGUGGGUGGAGGUGGCAGGAGAGGGACCCAUAGUUCUGUAGCCUAGGAACUGCCUCGGUGUCUUUCUCAGAAAAAGGCAAAGAGGCAGACAGUACUAGGUUCCUCCCUCCUCCCUCAGGCCUGAUCCGUUGUGCCCUUGACUCAGCCAUCCCAAAGUUUCUUACCUGACUUUGGCUUUCACAUUUGUUCCUCCCAGAGCUAACUGAUAAGGGUGGAGGAGGAAUGCCUACUCCUAAGAGUCAGUGGAAAGACGAGAGAGUCACAUUCAAGCUUUCGCACAAG